Molecule: ribosomal RNA, 366 nt
Filed under: Stenotrophomonas sp. APP1
Lineage: Bacteria; Pseudomonadati; Pseudomonadota; Gammaproteobacteria; Lysobacterales; Lysobacteraceae
Description: bacterial SSU rRNA
Rfam family: Bacterial small subunit ribosomal RNA
Source: RNAcentral
ACUUCGUGCCAGCAGCCGCGGUAAUACGAAGGGUGCAAGCGUUACUCGGAAUUACUGGGCGUAAAGCGUGCGUAGGUGGUUGUUUAAGUCUGUUGUGAAAGCCCUGGGCUCAACCUGGGAACUGCAGUGGAAACUGGAUGACUAGAGUGUGGUAGAGGGUAGCGGAAUUCCCGGUGUAGCAGUGAAAUGCGUAGAGAUCGGGAGGAACAUCCAUGGCGAAGGCAGCUACCUGGACCAACACUGACACUGAGGCACGAAAGCGUGGGGAGCAAACAGGAUUAGAUACCCUGGUAGUCCACGCCCUAAACGAUGCGAACUGGAUGUUGGGUGCACUUUGGCACGCAGUAUCGAAGCUAACGCGUUAAG